This 767-nucleotide long non-coding RNA is filed under the name Salvia miltiorrhiza (redroot sage). RNAcentral describes it as "long non-coding RNA (SMIL_LNC010845)". Lineage: Eukaryota; Viridiplantae; Streptophyta; Magnoliopsida; Lamiales; Lamiaceae. The record is from RNAcentral.
CCCAGCAGUCGAUCAAGCUCGCCACCGGCCGCGACGUCAGGGUCUUCAGCGCCGACGUCAGGGACUACGACGCCGUCAAGCGAGCGGUGGAGGAGGCCGGCCCGAUCGACGUGCUCGUGUGCAACCAUGGGGUUUACGUGCCGCAGGAGCUGGAGGAGCAGGAUCUGGAGGAGAUCAAGUUCAUGAUCGACGUCAAUCUCACGGGGACCUUCCAUUUGAUCAAGGCCGCCUUGCCCGGGAUGAAGAGGAAUCGGGCCGAGAAAGGGCCCGGUUCCAUUGCGAUUAUGUCGUCGCAGGCGGGCCAGGUAAAUUUCCCAAAUUCAGUUGUCCAAUUAGGUUUCCUCUUCGAAAAAAUGCUAUCUUUGGACGGAUCCCAUGUUUCAGAUCUCUCUCUCUGUGCAAUUAGUUUACUGGGUGCAAUGUAUGUAGUUCAAGUGAUGAGCUGAUUUCUGAAAGUUGGACUGUUUAUGAACUCUUUGAUACUUUGAUAUGAAGCUAAAAGAGCUGAUAUAUCUAUAUAUGCAUAUUAUCUGUUUCUUGGUGAAUGGUCAAUGGGUGGAUUGAGAAGGUUUUGGUGGGGAAAUCCAUUNGUGUGCAACCAUGGGGUUUACGUGCGCAGGAGCUGGAGGAGCAGGAUCUGGAGGAGAUCAAGUUCAUGAUCGACGUCAAUCUCACGGGGACCUUCCAUUUGAUCAAGGCCGCCUUGCCCGGGAUGAAGAGGAAUCGGGCCGAGAAAGGGCCCGCUUCCAUUGCGAUUAUGUCGUCGC